RNAcentral lists this ribosomal RNA (459 nucleotides) under uncultured Acidovorax sp. RNAcentral's name for it is "bacterial SSU rRNA". It matches the Rfam family "Bacterial small subunit ribosomal RNA", at positions 920 to 1382 of the family's 1533-position model. Lineage: Bacteria; Pseudomonadati; Pseudomonadota; Betaproteobacteria; Burkholderiales; Comamonadaceae. The record is from RNAcentral.
ACCGCACAAGCGGUGGAUGAUGUGGUUUAAUUCGAUGCAACGCGAAAACCUUACCACCUUUGACAUGUACGGAAUCCUUUAGAGAUAGAGGAGUGCUCGAAAGAGAGCCGUAACACAGGUGCUGCAUGGCUGUCGUCAGCUCGUGUCGUGAGAUGUUGGGUUAAGUCCCGCAACGAGCGCAACCCUUGUCAUUAGUUGCUACAUUCAGUUGGGCACUCUAAUGAGACUGCCGGUGACAAACCGGAGGAAGGUGGGAUGACGUCAAGUCAGCAUGGCCCUUAUGGGUAGGGCUUCACACGUCAUACAAUGGUCGGUACAGAGGGUUGCCAAGCCGCGAGGUGGAGCCAAUCCCAGAAAGCCGAUCGUAGUCCGGAUUGUUCUCUGCAACUCGAGAGCAUGAAGUCGGAAUCGCUAGUAAUCGCGGAUCAGCAUGUCGCGGUGAAUACGUUCCCGGGCCUU